Molecule: long non-coding RNA, 1615 nt
Organism: Pseudopipra pipra
Lineage: Eukaryota; Metazoa; Chordata; Aves; Passeriformes; Pipridae
Exons: 2
Source: RefSeq, a predicted model, not a curated record
CCGGACCCAGAACUGGAACUUGCCUUUCUCCCCCCCGCCGGAGCCGCCGCCUGAGCCGGUUCCCCCCUGCAGCACCUCGGCGAUGCGCUGCUCGCUGUGGACUCUGGCUGGGACAGAACAUCUGUCUGUUGCUAUGGCUGCAGUACACUUGAAGGGGAUGACUGGAUAAUUAUUGCAAACAUCCAUCCUGCCUGAUGUGCUCCCGGACCCUCCCUGCCCCAGCCCGGGCAGUGGCCGCUGCUCAGGCCCAACUUCACUCGCAGGGACCCUACCGAGGGAUGGCGCGUUGGCAUCACCUUUUCAUUUGCAUAAUUAAUGAGGCCGAGCCUGCAGGGCUCCUGGGAAAUCCGACGCAGAGCAGCAGAGAUGAAAUGGCACGGAGGGCUCCAGCCUUCUCGAGGCUCGUUAGAGCCCAGCUCGCUGCUGACGCCCCGCUUUGGAGCUACCAGGGAGUCGUUCUUCCAUUGCCUUUAAUUUACCACCCACUUCUAUCCGAACAGAUUGCUCUGGGCUGAUCCUGCCAUGCCUCCUCCAGGCACAGGAUCCCACCUGGCUGCUGCUGAGCAGGACCCCACCAACUCAGCACGAACCAGGGUGCACCCCCAGGGCUGUCACACGAUCAGGGACUUGGGAAAUAGCAAGGUCCCAGGUCCCGGCGUGGACCCGAGGCAUCCCCUGGUUCUCUCUCUUAAGUAGGCUGCUGCUGCUGCCAGCACUGCUGCCUCUGCUCCCUUCCUGCACUCCCUGCCUCCUCUCCCUUCCUGCUCUCCCUGCCUGCAGCUCCCUGCCUGCAGCUCCCUGCCUGGUCUCUCUGCCUAAUCUCCCUGCUUGCUCUGCUGCUGUCUGCAGCUCAGUGACUUGCCCAGCUGUGCCCACUGCUCACCCUGCAGCACCUGGGCACUGUCCUGUGUGGCUGCAGUGCCAGUGCUGGAUCCCCAGCCUCUGGCAGAGCCCGGCUGUCUGGUGAUCCAGACAGGAUCCCUGGCCUCUGGUGGAGCCCAUUGCCAGUCAGUACCUGGUGAUCCACCCAGGAUCCCUGGCCUCACCUUGCAUGCGCUGGAAUAUGACAUGCCCUAGCCCCAUUCCUCCCAGCAACUCCUGCUGCUGCUCCUAGGAGUCAGCCUGCCCCGAAAACACCCAUGGCCCCUUUGUUUCUGGGGUUGCUGUUGUUCUUUUGCCUGCUGGCAUUUAACCCUGCCCUGGAUCUCAUUCUGGGGGUGUUCAAAAAUCCAGAUCCUGCCCUGUGUGCCCUGUGGACUGACCCUGUUUCUGCAAGUCCCACCUCUGAAUUAACAGACCAAAAGAUAACACAGGAGUUCCCCUUCUGAGCAGCCACUGCUGUUCUGUUUAACUAGGAACUUCAAUGCAGCCAUUGUACAUUUUUUUCUGUUUAUCAACACGUGGUGGGUAGGAAGCCCAAGUGGAGCUGGGAGCACGGUGAGUGCAGACCCACAGCUACUGGCCAGCAAACAUCACUGCAGCUGGGACCCUCUCUCUGGACCCUCUCCUGGACCCUGUUCACUCCACAAGAAUCUAAGUAGGCUAUGUAGGACAAGGCUGCCUCUUGCUUUUCCCAUUAUCUAUAACAUCAACAAUAAAUAAUAAUAUUUUCAUA